CAGAAAAUAGUUUAAAGUGAAAAAUGUUGAUUUUGGGGAUCAAUGAUAGAAGUUUUCUUUUUCUGA
Molecule: transfer RNA, 66 nt
Filed under: Carcinoscorpius rotundicauda (Southeast Asian horseshoe crab)
Lineage: Eukaryota; Metazoa; Arthropoda; Merostomata; Xiphosura; Limulidae
Description: tRNA-Pro
Source: RNAcentral